UACGUAGGGGGCAAGCGUUGUCCGGAUUUAUUGGGCGUAAAGAGCGUGUAGGCGGUCUGGUAGGUCCGUUGUGAAAACUCGAGGCUCAACCUCGAGACGCCGAUGGAAACCCUCAGACUAGAGUCCGGAAGAGGAGAGUGGAAUUCCUGGUGUAGCGGUGGAAUGCGCAGAUAUCAGGAGGAACACCAAUAGCGAAGGCAGCUCGCUGGGACGGUACUGACGCUAAGGCGCGAAAGCGUGGGGAGCGAACAGG
Molecule: ribosomal RNA, 253 nt
Filed under: uncultured bacterium
Lineage: Bacteria
Description: partial 16S ribosomal RNA
Rfam family: Bacterial small subunit ribosomal RNA
Source: RNAcentral